UAGCAUAUCAAUAAGCGGAGGAAAAAGAAACUAACAAGGAUUCCCUUUAGUAACUGCGAGUGAAGAGGGAAAAGCUCAAAUUUAAAAUCUGGCAGUGUUUCACUGUCCGAGUUGUAACCUAGAGAAGUGUAACCUGUGCUGGACCGUGUACAAGUCUCCUGGAAUGGAGCAUCACAGAGGGUGAGAAUCCCGUCUUUGACAUGGACUACCAGUGCAUUGCGGUUGCGCUCUCAACGAGUCGAGUUGUUUGGGAAUGCAGCUCUAAAUGGGUGGUAAAUUCCAUCUAAAGCUAAAUAUUGGCGAGAGACCGAUAGCGAACAAGUACCGUGAGGGAAAGAUGAAAAGAACUUUGGAAAGAGAGUUAAACAGUAUGUGAAAUUGUUGAAAGGGAAACGUUUGAAGUCAGUCGCGUUGGUUGGGGAUCAGCCUGACAUUGUUGGGUGUAUUUCCUGGUCGACGGGCCAACAUCAGUUUUGACUGCCAGAAAAAGGCCAAAGGAAUGUGGCACCUUUGGGUGUGUUAUAGCCCUUGGUCGUAUAUGGUGGUUGGGACUGAGGAAAGCAGCGUGCCGAAAGGCCGGGUUUCGACCACGUUCACGCUGAGGAUGUUGGCAUAAUGGCUUUAAGCGACCCGUCUUGAAACACGGACCAAGGAGUCUAACAUGCAUGCGAGUGUUUGGGUGGAAAACCCUUACGCGUAAUGAAAGUGAAAGUUGAGAUCCCUGUCGCGGGGAGCAUCGACGCCCGGACCAGAACU
This 756-nucleotide ribosomal RNA is filed under the name Amanita sp. 'SAfr02'. RNAcentral's name for it is "Amanita sp. 'sp-SAfr02' partial 28S ribosomal RNA". It matches the Rfam family "Eukaryotic large subunit ribosomal RNA", at positions 36 to 777 of the family's 3401-position model. Lineage: Eukaryota; Fungi; Basidiomycota; Agaricomycetes; Agaricales; Amanitaceae. The record is from RNAcentral.